Macaca mulatta (Rhesus monkey) is the source of this 2336-nucleotide non-coding RNA. The record is from RefSeq and is a predicted model, not a curated record. NCBI's taxonomy places the organism in Eukaryota, Metazoa, Chordata, Mammalia, Primates, Cercopithecidae.
GCACUCUAGCCUGGGUGACAGAGUGAGACUCUGUUUCAAAAAAAGAAAAGAAAAAAAACCCCAAACCAAUUAACUCAGCAGAUUUUGUUCACAUGAAUGGCCAGAGUACAACCCCUUAAAUGCUUGAAUUAAGAAAAAGGCUUCAGAUUUUAAGUUCUGAGGGUUUUUUCUGCUUGAUCUAGUCUAUCAUUGAAGCUUUUGAGUGUACUUUGUAUUUUCAUCCUAUGAUUUCUUCAGUUCCACAUUUGCUGUGUGUUCUAGAAAACUCCGUAUCUGGUUGGUAAUUACGUCAACCAUAUCCAGAAUUGCUUCUGUCAUUUUGCUCCUUUCUUUUUCAGAAGUGUCUUGUAUUCCCUAAUAUUGGUUAAAAUCAGUAUGCACAAUUCUCUAUCUGACAUUUCUUGAAUUUCUUUUGGAUAGGGAUCUGUUGCUGGAGAAUUACUGGGUUCCUUUGGAGGCAUCCCGUUUCCUUGCUUUUUUAUGUUUCCGGUGUCCUUCUGUUGAGAUCUGCACAUCUUGUGUAAAUUGCUUCUUCCAAGUUUGUGAAUUCGCUUUGUAAGGGAGGACUUUUUCCUUUUCCCCUCAUGUGGGAGCUGCAGGCUCCAAUAGCUUGCAACCUUAGCUAUGAGAUAGCAAUAUAAGCUUGCCGGUUUUACUUUGCCCCAACAGAUAAUCCAAUAAAGGCUGUGAACCAAAAUUCUGGGUAAAGCAGUCUCCAUGGCAGUUUGAUUUUUAAAGUCUAAACCUCCCCAGACUCCAACAAGGAUCGCUGGGGCCAAACUAUCAAAGGAAGGCAUCACACGUUAACCAGGCCCCCUACUUAGAACAGCAGCACAAAAGCCUAGUUACAUGCAACGCCAUCCUGCUUUUCCAUUAGACAGUAAACUUCAGAUUCUAAACAAUUUUGGGGCCAAGGAACAUUACAACUCUGAGAGAAAAUUCCAAGGAGGGCUUAAUACUAGACCUUAGAACCUCUGCAGAAGGCAUCCUCUUUGGAGAGUUUGAGGUCUGGAGGAUCUUCCAGAGCGUCCUCUUGUGGGAUCCAAACUUAGACUUCCAGACGUCUCUGGCGUUACUUAGGUGAGCACUGGUGCCACUUUACAUGCAUUCCCUCUAGAGCCUUCUAUGAACUUUAUAAGAAUAGCCAUGAACUGUAAUAAGAACUGAAUGCCAGGUGGGCCUUUUUGUUCCUUAGCCAGUAGAGUACAAUAAGGAAAUAAUUUAGCAUAACUCAGUUCUAAAAAGUGCCAAUAUUUUAAAACCUAUUAUUAUUUCCAAGAAUAAUUAAUUAUUAUAUUUGAAAAGUACUCAAUUUGUAAGUGAAGAUAACUUGUUUUAAUAGUCAUACUACAGGAUAAUUUGAACAUUAGUUUAUAAGUUCAUAUUAUAUGUGAAUCGUCAACAGAUGAUAACACAUGGCCCAGACAUUUUAAAUUACUUCAUCUCACUAUGUUUGACCUACCAUAUAUUUUUCGAAUUAUAAUUUCUUAAAGUUCUUCUAGAGUAAAAUAUAAGAAAACUCAAGCCUUCAAAAGUAUAUAUUGAUAUGGAUUCAUGCAGAUAUUAUAAGGUGUUCUAAAGAUUUUGUACAAAAUUACAAACAGUAUACAUUGAAUUAUUUUGAAAGCAAAAUGUGUGUGGGACUGUGUAUCUGUAUCAUAUCCGUCUCGAUGUAUACACAGUUUUUAAAUGACAUAUAUAUAUUUUAGACAGGCUCUCACCCUAUCACCCAGACUGGAAUACAGUGGCAUGAUCGUGGCUCACUGCACCAUCGACCUCCCUGGGCUGAAGUAAUCGUCUCAACUCAGACUUCCAAGUAACUUGAACUACAGGCAUGGAUCCCUGAAGUCUGUCCCUGUUACUACAAGACAUUUUGAUAUCAUAAUAAAACACUUCAGAUAUGAUGCUGAGUGAAAAAGCAGAAAGGGGAAGACUUGGUUGUGCGGGUACUGAGUUCUUUUCCUUUUCUUUUCUUUCUUUCUUUUUUUUUUGAGACCGAUUCUCGUUCUGUCACCCAGGCUGGAGUGCAAUGGAGCGAUCUCGGCUGGCCAUUACUGAGUUCUUGAAAAGAGGAGAUGUUUGAUUAGGCUUGGUCCGGAGAGCUGCCUUGGACUUUCUAAUGAAUUCAAACAGUUGCCUCUGUUACCUUGACUCCUCUCAGAUUCCAUUGACCCGAGAUGGGUCCUGGCACUAGGAAUGUAAGACUGUCUCCAUUAUUUUGGCUUGCUCCAGGUAAGGGAGAAGCCGGUGCAAGGUUCCUGCUGACCAUGUGUUUCUUUCUUUUCUUUUGUUUUUUUGAGACGAAGUUUCGCUCUUGUUGCCCAGGCUGGAGUGCC